This 227-nucleotide unclassified non-coding RNA is filed under the name uncultured fungus. RNAcentral describes it as "sequence contains ITS1, 5.8S rRNA gene". The stretch from base 179 to 227 matches the Rfam family "5.8S ribosomal RNA", at positions 1 to 49 of the family's 154-position model. Lineage: Eukaryota; Fungi. The record is from RNAcentral.
UCUCCGUAGGUGAACCUGCGGAGGGAUCAUUACUGAGUGAGGGCUCCGGCCCGACCUCCAACCCCAUGUGAACCGAAACCUGUUGCUUCGGGGGCGACCCUGCCUUCGUGCGAGGCGCCCCCGGAGGCUCAUCAAACACUGCGUAACUGAGUCGUCGGAGUUUAAACAAAUUAAACAAAACUUUCAGCAACGGAUCUCUUGGGUCGGGCAUCGAUGAAGAACGCAGC